CAAUGAAGGAAGCAUGGUAGUGUGCACGGACAUUGAGUUCUCGGGUCAAAAUGUCUGCUCCCUCUGAUGCCUUAUUGGCUUUUGAUUUGGGGGCCUGGUUGCGACCCACAUCU
Corylus avellana is the source of this 113-nucleotide small nucleolar RNA. RefSeq annotates it as small nucleolar RNA snoR100. NCBI's taxonomy places the organism in Eukaryota, Viridiplantae, Streptophyta, Magnoliopsida, Fagales, Betulaceae. The record is from RefSeq and is a predicted model, not a curated record.